AGCAGCCGCGGUAAUUCCAGCUCCAAUAGCGUAUAUUAAAGUUGUUGCAGUUAAAAAGCUCGUAGUUGAAUUUCGAGAUCGGCUUACUGGUCGUGCUUUUGUACGUACUGGUAUAAUCGGUUUCUCCUUUCUGACGAACUAUAAUGCCAUUAAUUUGGUGUUAUAGGGAAUCAGGACUGUUACUUUGAAAAAAUUAGAGUGUUUAAAGCAGGCUCACGCUUGAAUACAUUAGCAUGGAAUAACGGAAUAGGACGUUUGAUUCUAUUUUGUUGGUUUCUAGGAUCGACGUAAUGAUUAAUAGGGAUAGUUGGGGGCAUUAGUAUUCAAUUGUCAGAGGUGAAAUUCUUGGAUUUAUUGAAGACUAACUACUGCGAAAGCAUUUGCCAAGGAUGUUUUCAUUAAUCAAGAACGAAAGUUAGGGGAUCGAAGACGAUCAGAUACCGUCGCAGUCUUAACCAUAAACUAUGCCGACUAGGGAUCGGAUGAUGUAAUUUUUAAUGACUCAUUCGGCGCCUUACGG
This 520-nucleotide ribosomal RNA is filed under the name uncultured Glomus. RNAcentral's name for it is "SSU rRNA". It matches the Rfam family "Eukaryotic small subunit ribosomal RNA", at positions 569 to 1093 of the family's 1831-position model. Lineage: Eukaryota; Fungi; Glomeromycota; Glomeromycetes; Glomerales; Glomeraceae. The record is from RNAcentral.